This 496-nucleotide ribosomal RNA is filed under the name uncultured bacterium. RNAcentral's name for it is "partial 16S ribosomal RNA". It matches the Rfam family "Bacterial small subunit ribosomal RNA", at positions 28 to 507 of the family's 1533-position model. The record is from RNAcentral.
GAUGAACGCUGGCGGCGUGCCUAAUACAUGCAAGUCGAGCGAACAGACGAGGAGCUUGCUCCUCUGACGUUAGCGGCGGACGGGUGAGUAACACGUGGAUAACCUACCUAUAAGACUGGGAUAACUUCGGGAAACCGGAGCUAAUACCGGAUAAUAUAUUGAACCGCAUGGUUCAAUAGUGAAAGACGGUUUUGCUGUCACUUAUAGAUGGAUCCGCGCCGCAUUAGCUAGUUGGUAAGGUAACGGCUUACCAAGGCAACGAUGCGUAGCCGACCUGAGAGGUGGAGCGUCAAAAAUGAAGUUGGAAACGGGGCGAAAACCCAAAGGAGGGAACAGGAGGGAAAUUCUCCGAAGGGGACGAAACCCGAAGGGGCCACGCCCCGGGGGGGAGGAAAGGAUUCCGAUUCUUAAAACUCUGUAUUUAGGAAAAAACAAUUGUUAAAGUAACAUUAACCCUUUUGCGGGUCCCAAGUAGAAAGGCCAGGGCGACCAAGGG